Molecule: ribosomal RNA, 468 nt
Filed under: uncultured bacterium
Lineage: Bacteria
Description: partial 16S ribosomal RNA
Rfam family: Bacterial small subunit ribosomal RNA
Source: RNAcentral
GACGAACGCUGGCGGCGUGCUUAACACAUGCAAGUCGAACGGAAAGGCCCUGCUUUUGUGGGAUGCUCGAGUGGCGAACGGGUGAGUAACACGUGAGUAACCUGCCCUUGACUUUGGGAUAACUUCAGGAAACUGGGGCUAAUACCGGAUAGGAGCUCCUGCUGCAUGGUGGGGGUUGGAAAGUGUCGGCGGUUGGGGAUGGACUCGCGGCUUAUCAGCUUGUUGGUGGGGUAGUGGCUUACCAAGGCUUUGACGGGUAGCCGGCCUGAGAGGGUGACCGGCCACAUUGGGACUGGGAUACGGGCCAGACUCCUACGGGAGGCAGCAGUGGGGAAUAUUGCACAAUGGGCGGAAGCCGGAUGCAGCAACGCCGCGUGCGGGAUGACGGCCUUCGGGUUGUAAACCGCUUUCGCCUGUGACGAAGCGUGAGUGACGGUAAUGGGUAAAGAAGCACCGGCUAACUACGUG